Molecule: ribosomal RNA, 905 nt
Filed under: uncultured Bacillota bacterium
Lineage: Bacteria; Bacillati; Bacillota
Description: bacterial SSU rRNA
Rfam family: Bacterial small subunit ribosomal RNA
Source: RNAcentral
GGAUCCAGACCUUGAUUAUGGCUCAGGACGAACGCUGGCGGCGUGCCUAACACAUGCAAGUCGAACGGAACUUUUUUAAUUGACUUCUUCGGAAUGAUUUUGAUUAAGUUUAGUGGCGGACGGGUGAGUAACGCGUGAGUAACCUGCCUCUAAGAGGGGAAUAACAUUCUGAAAGGAAUGCUAAUACCGCAUAAUAUAUAUUUAUCGCAUGGUAGAUAUAUCAAAGAUUUAUCGCUUAGAGAUGGACUCGCGUCCGAUUAGUUAGUUGGUGAGGUAACGGCUCACCAAGACCGCGAUCGGUAGCCGGACUGAGAGGUUGAACGGCCACAUUGGGACUGAGACACGGCCCAGACUCCUACGGGAGGCAGCAGUGGGGGAUAUUGCGCAAUGGGGGAAACCCUGACGCAGCAACGCCGCGUGAAGGAUGAAGGUCUUCGGAUUGUAAACUUCUUUUAUUAAGGACGAAGAAAGUGACGGUACUUAAUGAAUAAGCUCCGGCUAACUAGGUGCCAGCAGCCGCGGUAAUACGUAGGGAGCAAGCGUUGUCCGGAUUUACUGGGUGUAAAGGGUGCGUAGGCGGCUUUGCAAGUCAGAUGUGAAAUCCAUGGGCUCAACCCAUAGCCUGCAUUUGAAACUGCAGAGCUUGAGUGAAGUAGAGGCAGGCGGAAUUCCCCGUGUAGCGGUGAAAUGCGUAGAGAUGGGGGGGAACACCAGUGGCGAAGGCGGCCUGCUGGGCUUUAACUGACGCUGAGGCACGAAAGCGUGGGUAGCAAACAGGAUUAGAUACCCUGGUAGUCCACGCUGUAAACGAUGAUUACUAGGUGUGGGGGGUCUGACCCCUUCCGUGCCGGAGUUAACACAAUAAGUAAUCCACCUGGGGAGUACGGCCGCAAGGUUGCAACUCA